This 465-nucleotide ribosomal RNA is filed under the name uncultured bacterium. RNAcentral describes it as "partial 16S ribosomal RNA". It matches the Rfam family "Bacterial small subunit ribosomal RNA", at positions 338 to 795 of the family's 1533-position model. The record is from RNAcentral.
CCUACGGGAGGCAGCAGUAGGGAAUUUUCGUCAAUGGGCGCAAGCCUGAACGAGCGAUGCCGCGUGAGUGAAGAAGGCCUUCGGGUCGUAAAGCUCUGUUGCGGGGGAAAAAAGGCAGCAUCAGGAAAUGGGUGCUGACUGAUGGUGCCCCGCCAGAAAGUCACGGAUAACUACGUGCCAGCCGCCGCGGUAAUACGUCGGGGGCGAGCGUUAUCCGGGAGGGUUGGGCGUAAAGGUGGCGCAGGCGGUCUUGCAAGUCUGGAGUGAAACGCAUGAGCUCAACUCAUGCAUGGCUUUGGAAACUGGAGGACUAGAGAGCAGGAGAGGGCGGUGGAACUCCAUGUGUAGCGGUAAAAUGCGUAGAUAUAUGGAAGAACACCAGUGGCGAAGGCGGCCGCCUGGCCUGUUGCUGACGCUGAGGCACGAAAGCGUGGGGAGCAAAUAGGAUUAGAUACCCGAGUAGUC